RNAcentral lists this transfer RNA (90 nucleotides) under Nevskiaceae bacterium. Its description in RNAcentral is "tRNA-Ser". It matches the Rfam family "tRNA". From Rfam's summary of the family: Transfer RNA (tRNA) molecules are approximately 80 nucleotides in length. Their secondary structure includes four short double-helical elements and three loops (D, anti-codon, and T loops). The record is from RNAcentral. Lineage: Bacteria; Pseudomonadati; Pseudomonadota; Gammaproteobacteria; Nevskiales; Nevskiaceae.
GGAAGGGUGGCCGAGCGGUUUAUGGCUCCAGUCUUGAAAACUGGCGUUCCUUCACGGGAACCGUGGGUUCGAAUCCCACCCCUUCCGCCA